This is a long non-coding RNA of Haliotis rubra (blacklip abalone), 99 nucleotides long. RefSeq lists it as uncharacterized. The transcript is spliced from 3 exons. The record is from RefSeq and is a predicted model, not a curated record. Lineage: Eukaryota; Metazoa; Mollusca; Gastropoda; Lepetellida; Haliotidae.
CUCUUGUUUAAUAAAAUAUCCCAGAGAUGCCAACCCUUAAUCUAAGGAAAACGGAGUCAUGACUGAAAGCCAGCCCUGAGCACCAAAGGUGAGAGUUGG